CAACUAUUCAGCAGGUUUUCCCGGUAAUCUCAGCUCUCCUUAACAUGCAGCUUUGCAACUCCCUUUUGCAACUGUUGGAUGCACUGUGAAUAGACUCCCAAUGAUCAGACAAAUUCAUACCACACCUUCCUUGAAAUUCUUUACAUUCAUGUCCCUGAGCCAAUAGUAAAAAGUCAAUUGUAGCUCUAUUCUGUAACACAGCAGGUCUGACUGAAUUAACAUCCAAAGGCAGUUCACUUAGUACCUUGCAUGUUGCAUUUGUUUGCUUUGCAAGACAGCAUCCUAAUUUGUUUCUUGUAGCUUUUGCUGUUCCUACAAGGGCAAAUAGUGAAGCAAAAAUUCAGGGUGCUUUAUCCCAAUAGGUUCCCCUCUCGUCACAGGCUGCAGCAAAAGCAGGAGUAGAGCAUCCCUUUGGUCUCGCCCCAGCAGUGUGUGCAGGAGAACAUCAGGAACAUUGGGGACCAUACAGGUACAGUGAGCUGGUCCAACUGUGGCAAGAAGAGCAAGUGGGCUGUGAAGGUUUGGAGCAGUCUGCAAGGUUCCUCAUGCCCAAAGGAAGUGCAGCCCUGGAAGAGUCAGGAAUACUGACAAGUGCCCCAGUUCUGGUGAAGCUCAACUGUGUAAAACACUUAUGGAGCUAAAAUUCCACAGCACUGAGCUGUUGGGUCCCAAAUAAUAAUGAAGAGAGAGGCAGAAACUCCCCCUGCUGCUGGGGCUGAACUGUCUGCAGUGACUGGGCAGGACUUGGCCCUGAUGCCUGAGUGCUCUCCAACCCCCCCAGGCUCGAUCCCAGCUGUCAGCCCCUGGCUCCAUAACUUGAGAAGAGGGUGUUCCUGCCAGCCCAGCUGCUGUGUUGGUGGUCCUGGGGGCACCUCCUGCCCUGGCCUGCUGUGAAUGUGUUUGUGUUGUAGCUCAAUAAAGUCCCUUUCAGUGGUGA
Molecule: long non-coding RNA, 937 nt
Organism: Pseudopipra pipra
Lineage: Eukaryota; Metazoa; Chordata; Aves; Passeriformes; Pipridae
Exons: 2
Source: RefSeq, a predicted model, not a curated record